RNAcentral lists this transfer RNA (76 nucleotides) under Gammaproteobacteria bacterium. RNAcentral describes it as "tRNA-Gln". It matches the Rfam family "tRNA". From Rfam's summary of the family: Transfer RNA (tRNA) molecules are approximately 80 nucleotides in length. Their secondary structure includes four short double-helical elements and three loops (D, anti-codon, and T loops). RNAcentral also lists the same sequence under 2 other names. Lineage: Bacteria; Pseudomonadati; Pseudomonadota; Gammaproteobacteria. The record is from RNAcentral.
UGGGAUGUAGCUCAACUGGCAGAGCGACGGACUCUGACUCCGUAGGUUCUAGGUUCGACCCCUAGCAUCCCAGCCA